RNAcentral lists this unclassified non-coding RNA (298 nucleotides) under plant metagenome. RNAcentral's name for it is "partial contains 5.8S ribosomal RNA, internal transcribed spacer 2, and large subunit ribosomal RNA". The stretch from base 1 to 104 matches the Rfam family "5.8S ribosomal RNA", at positions 51 to 154 of the family's 154-position model. The record is from RNAcentral.
AAAUGCGAUAAGUAAUGUGAAUUGCAGAAUUCAGUGAAUCAUCGAAUCUUUGAACGCACUUUGCGCCCCCUGGUAUUCCGGGGGGCAUGCCUGUUCGAGCGUCAUUUCACCACUCAAGCCUCGCUUGGUAUUGGGCGACGCGGUCCGCCGCGCGCCUCAAAUCGACCGGCUGGGUCUUUCGUCCCCUCAGCGUUGUGGAAACUAUUCGCUAAAGGGUGCCGCGGGAGGCCACGCCGUAAAACAACCCCAUUUCUAAGGUUGACCUCGGAUCAGGUAGGGAUACCCGCUGAACUUAAGC